GUAGGUGGCAAGCGUUGUCCGGAAUUAUUGGGCGUAAAGCGCGCGCAGGCGGUUCUUUAAGUCUGAUGUGAAAGCCCACGGCUCAACCGUGGAGGGUCAUUGGAAGCUGGAGAACUUGAGUACAGAAGAGGAAAGCGGAAUUCCACGUGUAGCGGUGAAAUGCGUAGAGAUGUGGAGGAACACCAGUGGCGAAGGCGGCUUUCUGGUCUGUAACUGACGCUGAGGCGCGAAAGCGUGGGGGAGCAAACAGGAUUAGAUACCCUGGUAGUCCACGCCGUAAACGAUGAGUGCUAAGUGUUAGGGGGUUUUCCGCCCCGUUAGUGCUGCAGCUAACGCAUUAAGCACUCCGCCUGGGAGUACGGCCGCAAGGCUG
This 373-nucleotide ribosomal RNA is filed under the name uncultured organism. RNAcentral describes it as "partial 16S ribosomal RNA". It matches the Rfam family "Bacterial small subunit ribosomal RNA", at positions 527 to 896 of the family's 1533-position model. The record is from RNAcentral.